Echinostoma caproni is the source of this 84-nucleotide non-coding RNA. The record is from Rfam. Lineage: Eukaryota; Metazoa; Platyhelminthes; Trematoda; Plagiorchiida; Echinostomatidae.
GGCCUCGUAGCUCAGCUGGUAGAGCGUGCGCUGUACAAAAGCGUAGGCGGCGUCCAUGCGCGGGUUCGAAUCCCACCGAAGUUA